GCGCAGCGCCACCUGGGCCGCCAUGACCCGCUGCCGCUCGAUGAUGAGGAUGCACUUCUCGCAGGUGCAGUCUUUGAAGCGGCAGUAGCGCUUGUGGCCCUUGAGCCAGGACAGCACGCCGUGGUUGCGGCAGCGCGCGCACUUCGGCGUGCGCUGCAGGGGCGCCCGCGGCGGCUGCGACACCGGGCCGCCCAUAUACAGGCCUGAUUUGGCAGCGCCGACCCCAAGGCCGCCUUCAUUCUCACACUUGGCCACAGAUACACCGCUCCGAGAGAACCGGAGUCUACCGGAGAGUUCUGCGGAAGACAAUAUUAGAAAACCUCUGGUCCAAGGAUGACAAUCCAUUUUGCAGGCUACUUAACAGGGGAAACCAGUCCCUCCUCUCUGGCGCUGAGUUUCUCUACCCUCAUCCCCACGUUUUAAUAAAAGUCUCUGUUCUGAAAGACUGA
Molecule: long non-coding RNA, 449 nt
Organism: Sus scrofa (pig)
Lineage: Eukaryota; Metazoa; Chordata; Mammalia; Artiodactyla; Suidae
Source: RefSeq, a predicted model, not a curated record